UUGUCCGCCCCGACUCCCCUGAUCUCGCCGUCCUCCUCUUUCAGAUCCUCCCCCUCCCCAUCCACGACCGCCGCCACCUCCCCAUCCAUGGCCAUCUGCCCCUAUGCGUCCCGCAACCGCCGCGACGACAUCCUCGUCCCCAGAGGCGGGGACUUCCCUUAAGGCGAACCUAGUGCACGUGGCGCCGGUACCGUUGAUGCGGGUCGGGCGGCGGUCAGAUCUGCCACGGCCAGAACCGGCGUCCUCUUCCUCCCUAUCCAGCUUCCUCCCAUGGCUGAGAAGAGGGCUUCGUCAAGGAUCCCAUGACGGAGGUCAACGUGGGAGGCUGCUUCCUCCGAUCCCAGAUCGACCAUCCGUCGAUGGAGGCCAUGAGAGCCACGUGGGCACACACAUGGCUGCGCUUCAAGCUGCAGCUCGAUAGAUGCAGGGACGCGUCCCUUCUCUUCCCGUUUAGUCCGAUCCGCCACUGCCAGCCAUUUCCGGCGCCCCUGCACCAAAGCGGUGAAGGGCACAAUGAUGAAUUCAACGCAAGAUCCUACUGGUGAUCCAACAGAUGGGAGCCCAACAGACGCAAACACAUAAGAUGCCUAAGAAAAGGACUGGCAAAUAAAAUAGGAAUCCAAACUUGCAAAAUUCUCUUUUACAGACCGCUAGUACUACUGGGACUCUAGGUACAAGGCACAAUGUAAUUGCUCCAAAUACGCUCAUACAAGUUGCAACAAUGAAUUUUCGAAUGUUUCGAGCAAUGCAGGAUCCAAAGAUUUAGCUGGAAUGGACUAUAGACCACGGACAAUUUAAUCUUUGCUCUUAAAUAGGAUGGCACAUUCAGUAUGUUGAAUGCAUGCUAAAUUAUGUUACAGUUUAUUGUGAUGGAUAUUGGGUAUGCGAACUUUGAUGUCUGAUGAAUCUACAUCAUAUAUGCAUUAUUUGAAUUUUGUAA
Non-coding RNA from Aegilops tauschii subsp. strangulata, 940 nucleotides. The record is from RefSeq and is a predicted model, not a curated record. Lineage: Eukaryota; Viridiplantae; Streptophyta; Magnoliopsida; Poales; Poaceae.